GACGAACGCUGACAGAAUGCUUAACACAUGCAAGUCAACUUGAACUUCGGUUUGGGUGGCGGACGGGUGAGUAACGCGUAAAGAACUUGCCUCACAGCUAGGGACAACAUUUGGAAACGAAUGCUAAUACCUGAUAUUAUGAUUUUAGGGCAUCCUAGGAUUAUGAAAGCUAUAUGCGCUGUGAGAGAGCUUUGCGUCCCAUUAGCUAGUUGGAGAGGUAACGGCUCACCAAGGCGAUGAUGGGUAGCCGGCCUGAGAGGGUGAUCGGCCACAAGGGGACUGAGACACGGCCCUUACUCCUACGGGAGGCAGCAGUGGGGAAUAUAGGACAAUGGACCAAGAGUCUGAUCCAGCAAUUCUGUGUGCACGAUGAAGUUUUUCGGAAUGUAAAGUGCUUUCAGUUGGAAGAAAGAAAUGACGGUACCACA
This 428-nucleotide ribosomal RNA is filed under the name Fusobacterium periodonticum. Its description in RNAcentral is "bacterial SSU rRNA". It matches the Rfam family "Bacterial small subunit ribosomal RNA", at positions 28 to 466 of the family's 1533-position model. Lineage: Bacteria; Fusobacteriati; Fusobacteriota; Fusobacteriia; Fusobacteriales; Fusobacteriaceae. The record is from RNAcentral.